This 497-nucleotide ribosomal RNA is filed under the name uncultured bacterium. RNAcentral describes it as "partial 16S ribosomal RNA". It matches the Rfam family "Bacterial small subunit ribosomal RNA", at positions 28 to 507 of the family's 1533-position model. The record is from RNAcentral.
GAUGAACGCUGGCGGCGUGCUUAAUACAUGCAAGUCGAGCGAACAGACGAGGAGCUUGCUCCUCUGACGUUAGCGGCGGACGGGUGAGUAACACGUGGAUAACCUACCUAUAAGACUGGGAAAAUCUCGGGAAACCGGAGCUAAUACCGUAUAAUAUAUUGAACCGCAUGGUGCAAUAGUGAAAGACGGUUUUGCUGUAACUUAUAGAGGGAUCCGCGCCGCAUUAGCUAGUUGGUAAGGUAACGGGUUACCAAGGCAACGAUGCGUAGCCGACCUGAGAGAGUGGUCGGCCGCCUUAGAGCGGAGACAGGGUCCAGGCGCCUGCGAGACGCAGCAGUAGGGUAUCUGCCGCAGUGGGCGAAAGCCUGGCGGAGCAACGCGGCGUGAGUGAUGAAGGCGUUCGGAGCGUGAAACUCUGUUAUUAGGGAUGAACAAAUGUGUAAGGAGCUGUGCACGGAUUGACGGUACCUGAUCAGAAAGCCACGGCUAACUACGUG